This is a long non-coding RNA of Nematostella vectensis (starlet sea anemone), 989 nucleotides long. RefSeq lists it as uncharacterized. NCBI's taxonomy places the organism in Eukaryota, Metazoa, Cnidaria, Anthozoa, Actiniaria, Edwardsiidae. The transcript has 2 exons. The record is from RefSeq and is a predicted model, not a curated record.
AGUGGUCAUGGUCAAUGGGACCAUGCAUGGAAGGAAAACCAUGUAAACCCCUGAGGGGCAGUGGCUACACAUCCAUGGGGUGUAGAAUGGAGAUGUCAGGCGUUUCCUCCCUCCACUACCCUAGGUGUUCACCUUGGGCAAGUGAUAUCCCACCUCUAGCCUCCCAUUGCCCUAGGUUACAAGAUAGCGUCAGAUAAAAACUUGGCGACAAUGAGCCCUUGGCAAGGGUGAUACCCCGAUCUAUUGAUCGUUAAUACCGCAUUGAAUUAUGCGGGGGGACCAAGAAGCCCUUAUCUAUACAAGAGCAAGUAAGAAAUAAAAGAACAAUACUUUCAUUUGAACAUAUCUAUAUUGAUUAGGUAUUCCAACCUCCAUCAUCUCACAUACCCUUAUCGGCUUAACCUGCCUUUCACCACUUUACCUGCCUCCAACUGGCUAGCCUGUACUUCAGUGACUUACCCAUUCCUCGUUAAUUUACACUCAUCAGCUUCCAUUCUGUAACAGUCUUAACUUCCCUAACUGGCUACCUUCAAGAAUGGAAGGAAAACCUUACAAACCAUCCUUAAUCAAAAAAAUGGACAACAAAACCAUGCAUGGAAGUAAAACCAUGGAAUUGAAACCAUUCAAACCAUCAAAGGAAAACCAUUGCAGUGUUUGCCUUGGACAAGUGAUAAGACACCACUAGCCUCCCUUUUCUCUUUUCUAAGAACAAAAACCCUUACUGCCAAUACCACCCUCGGCAUUUCUGGGUUGCCCCACAGUGAAUCCAAAGUAAAGGUGAACAAUACUGAUGGGAAAAUGCACCUGGAGAUUGUUUAAAUUUUUCACUGCAUUUUAUGCAGGUGCUUGCACAUCCUUUUCCAAUGCUUUAUGCUUGUGGCAGUUGGUUGUCAAAUAUGGAGUGGAAUAUUGGACAUCCCUUUACAGAUAUAUUUUCUUAUUCUGCUGUGCUGUCUUGUUGAAAUAAAUUUGAUCCAGGAUCUUUUUAA